GAUGAAGAACGCAGCGAAAUGCGAUAAGUAAUGUGAAUUGCAGAAUUCAGUGAAUCAUCGAAUCUUUGAACGCACAUUGCGCCCCCUGGUAUUCCGGGGGGCAUGCCUGUUCGAGCGUCAUUACAACCCUCAAGCUCUGCUUGGUGUUGGGCCCCGCCGCCCCGGCGGGCCCUAAAAUCAGUGGCGGUGCCGUCCGGCUCCGAGCGUAGUAAUUCUUCUCGCUCUGGAGGUCCGGGUGUGUGCUCGCCAGCAACCCCCAAUUUUUUUCAGGUUGACCUCGGAUCAGGUAGGGAUACCCGCUGAACUGAAGAAUAUCAAUAAGCGGAGGA
This 329-nucleotide unclassified non-coding RNA is filed under the name soil metagenome. RNAcentral describes it as "partial contains 5.8S ribosomal RNA, internal transcribed spacer 2, and large subunit ribosomal RNA". The stretch from base 1 to 120 matches the Rfam family "5.8S ribosomal RNA", at positions 35 to 154 of the family's 154-position model. The record is from RNAcentral.